CCUACGGGUGGCAGCAGUGGGGAAUAUUGGACAAUGGGCGAAAGCCUGAUCCAGCCAUGCCGCGUGUGUGAAGAAGGCCUUCGGGUUGUAAAGCACUUUCAGUGGGGAAGAAAGCCUUGGGGCUAAUACCCUCGAGGAAGGACAUCACCCACAGAAGAAGCACCGGCUAACUCCGUGCCAGCAGCCGCGGUAAUACGGAGGGUGCGAGCGUUAAUCGGAAUUACUGGGCGUAAAGCGCGCGUAGGCGGUCUGAUAAGCCGGUUGUGAAAGCCCCGGGCUCAACCUGGGAACGGCAUCCGGAACUGUCAGGCUAGAGUGCAGGAGAGGAAGGUAGAAUUCCCGGUGUAGCAGUGAAACGCGUAGAGAUCGGGAGGAAUACCAGUGGCGAAGGCGGCCUUCUGGACUGACACUGACGCUGAGGUGCGAAAGCGUGGGUAGCAAACAGGAUUAGAUACCCGAGUAGUC
Molecule: ribosomal RNA, 465 nt
Filed under: Vreelandella stevensii
Lineage: Bacteria; Pseudomonadati; Pseudomonadota; Gammaproteobacteria; Oceanospirillales; Halomonadaceae
Description: partial 16S ribosomal RNA
Rfam family: Bacterial small subunit ribosomal RNA
Source: RNAcentral